GCCCGUGUGGCUCAGUGGGCAGAGCGCCGGCCCUCAGACCUGAAGGGUCGCAGGUUCGGUUCCGGUCAAGGGCA
Molecule: transfer RNA, 74 nt
Filed under: Myotis lucifugus (little brown bat)
Lineage: Eukaryota; Metazoa; Chordata; Mammalia; Chiroptera; Vespertilionidae
Rfam family: tRNA
About the family: Transfer RNA (tRNA) molecules are approximately 80 nucleotides in length. Their secondary structure includes four short double-helical elements and three loops (D, anti-codon, and T loops). Further hydrogen bonds mediate the characteristic L-shaped molecular structure. tRNAs have two regions of fundamental functional importance: the anti-codon, which is responsible for specific mRNA codon recognition, and the 3' end, to which the tRNAs corresponding amino acid is attached (by aminoacyl-tRNA synthetases). tRNAs cope with the degeneracy of the genetic code in two manners: having more than one tRNA (with a specific anti-codon) for a particular amino acid; and 'wobble' base-pairing, i.e. permitting non-standard base-pairing at the 3rd anti-codon position.
Source: Rfam by way of RNAcentral